Molecule: ribosomal RNA, 517 nt
Filed under: uncultured archaeon
Lineage: Archaea
Description: bacterial SSU rRNA
Rfam family: Archaeal small subunit ribosomal RNA
Source: RNAcentral
GUAACACGUAGUCAACCUGCCCUGGAGACAUGGAAAACCCCGGGAAACUGGGAUUAAUCCGUGAUAGGUCACCUCAUCUGGAAGGAGAGAUGGCUUAAAGGGGUGCGAGAGCUUCUUUCUUGCAUUCGCUCCAGGAUGGGACUGCGGCCGAUCAGGCUGUUGGCGGUGUAAUGGACCACCAAACCUGUAACCGGUACGGGCCUUGAGAGAGGGGGCCCGGAGAUGGACACUGAGAGAAGGGUCCAGGUCCUACGGGGCGCAGCAGGCGCGAAACCUUCGCAAUGCGCGAAAGCGUGACGAGGUUAAUCCGAGUGGUCCCCGCUGAGGGGAUCUUUUGUUGGCUGUAAAAAGGCCGAUGAAUAAGGGGAGGGCAAGUCUGGUGUCAGCCGCCGCGGUAAUACCAGCUCCUCGAGUGGUCGGGGCGAUUAUUGGGCCUAAAGCAUCCGUAGCCGGUUCUGUAGGUCCUCCGUGAUAUCCCACGGCUUAACCGCUGGCCCCAAUAGGAUACCGCAGGAGU